AUGACUUUCCAUCAUAUGGCAUGUUGUCUGGUUGGGGUACGCAUGGCAAAAUGGGUUUCCCGCAUUGCAUGGCAUACACCAACGCGUUUACGUUGGAUAAGGGGGGGGGGGAGCUCGUGGUUUAACUGUCACGCAUAUUCCUACCAACAAAUCAUCCCUAUAGAAGAAACAAGACACAUUUUAAAAAAGACGAACGAGUAUCAGAUCUGUCUCCGCCUCGAUUGUCACCAGGUGAUAUAUGGAACCAAGUUUGUGAACUACCAAAAUUUACAGAUACUUGCAAAGCAUGUAGAAUUGAAGGAUAUGGAGUCAGACACAAUUGGACAAAAAGAAGUAUAUUUUGGGACCUCCUGUAUUGGAAAGAUAAUUUGUUGGACCAUUAUCUUGAUGUUAUGCAUAUUG
This is a non-coding RNA of Vicia faba (fava bean), 402 nucleotides long. Lineage: Eukaryota; Viridiplantae; Streptophyta; Magnoliopsida; Fabales; Fabaceae. The record is from the annotation of a GenBank genome assembly.